Molecule: ribosomal RNA, 353 nt
Filed under: Alloscorpiops wongpromi
Lineage: Eukaryota; Metazoa; Arthropoda; Arachnida; Scorpiones; Euscorpiidae
Description: partial large subunit ribosomal RNA
Source: RNAcentral
AAUCAUUAGUCUUUUAAUUUAAGACUGGAAUGAAUGGUUUAACUUACUUUUUUUGUCUCAUUUUAAUAUUUUGAACUUUAUAUUUUAGUAAAAAAGCUAAAAUUUUAUUUUUAGACGAGAAGACCCUAUCAAGCUUUAUAAUUAAAUUUUAUUAUCAAAAUAAAAAGCAAAUUAUUUUACUGGGGUAGUAAAUAAAAAAUUUUUAUUUUAUUAUUAUGAAUAAUGAAUCUUGUUAAAUCUAAAAUUUUUAAAAUAAUAAUAAGUUACUGUAGGGAUAACAGCAUAAUUUUUUUAAAGAGAUCUUAUCAACAAAAAAGUUUGUGACCUCGAUGUUGGAUUAAAAUACCUAAUUA